This is a non-coding RNA of Pseudomonas sp. VI4.1, 133 nucleotides long. The record is from Rfam. Lineage: Bacteria; Pseudomonadati; Pseudomonadota; Gammaproteobacteria; Pseudomonadales; Pseudomonadaceae.
UUGGUUAGAACUCAACACAGGUUGACGUCGCAACGGUGUCAACACCUUGGCUCGCGACGCCGGCAGCGAGCCCCAACGGCAGGAGUUUUUCUGCCAGACCUCAAUUGAGGUCGACGCGAUACAUACAGUCAAC